This is a long non-coding RNA of Bos taurus (domestic cattle), 2586 nucleotides long. Lineage: Eukaryota; Metazoa; Chordata; Mammalia; Artiodactyla; Bovidae. The record is from Ensembl.
GAGGGGAGGGAGUGGUACAGCAUCAGAGCUCCCUGAAGUCUCUGCUCUCAGCGUGGCUUGGCCUGACCCCCAUGCCAGCUGUGCCCAAGCCAUCCAUGCCAGGCCGCAGUGGGCACCCCUCUGGGCAGUGUGGGGCGGGUGUCAGCAGCAGCUGUGGAGCCUGGCACCCUCUACCACCUCUCUAGCUGGUUUCCUGAUAGCCCCCACAUACACACUCAGGGCACUGCUCAAGCUUCGGCAGCACCAAGCAGGAUGUUGGGGCAAAGGCAAGGGGUAGUAGAAAGAGAGCAUCUGGGUUUCAGAAUGUCUGGGUCCCUGAGAGCUGGGUGUCCCCCCACUCCGUAAGGGCAGCCUGGGCGGUGCCUGGCCUAGAACUGAGAAGGUGGGGUCAGAUCAAAGCCUCCUUCCCCAGCGGCCUCUUUGUUCUUCGCUUUUAUAAGGAGGAGGGGGUGGGGCCGAGGAGGGAGGGCCCCCUUUGCUCUCAGCCCCACUCUGUCUCUAUCACCUCUGGCAGGCAAAGCUAUGACGCCUCCCCCCCGCAAGACUAACCAGUGACCAGUGACCAGUGACCUGGGGGGAGCCAAAGAAGGGGUGCCCCUUCCCCCGGUGCUAUGCUCUACUCGCCCCGGUGCCCCACAGCUUCCCCUGGCACGGUGCCGGCCCGCCUGGCACCCAGCCAACGAUCGAUAGGUGGAUGUUGUGCUGAUUAGCUCGGCGGGGCUGCGGCGGCAAGAGGCGGCAUGUGAACAUGCGCGUGGAGGGGGCGGCGGGCGGAGGGUGCUAGAGGUCCAGAGACUGAUGACCAGGCCGAAAUGCUGGAGGUUUUCGAACCCCUGCCCCACCCCUUUGCACACCUGGCUCACACCCCGUCCUUCUGGGUUGUUUCCAUCGCUCAGGCUGAGGCCUGGGGCGGAGGACAGCACCCAGGACGAAGCCUACAUGAGUUGACCCGCCCCCUGAUUCAAGGCCACUUUCUGUAGGUGCAUGUGCUUGCGUAUUCGUGUCAGGGCCCUCCCCGCAAAACACGAUUCUUAGGGGGGGCGAGAGGCCAGAGAGAAGAGGGUGAAGUCUGAGCUGAGGCCUGAGCUAUGGGCUCGGUCUUCGGUCCUGUGUUCGAGUUCAGUCUCUACUGCCAACCAGAAGGUGUCUAUCCGUCGCCGUGGAAACCGACUGUACUGCUACCUCCGCCCCUCUCCAGUGAAGCCAGAGGCGACGCAGGCCGGGGAUGACUGGUUCGACCAGCACUAAGGACUGCGGGCUUCUCAUCCUGCUCCCAGCGGCCGCAGACACCCUCCCUUCGCGGACCAAGCCCGGCGCGCUCGCUCCCGAGCCCGUAGCCGGCGCGCGGAUCUCGCCGCUGAUAACGCAUGUGCGAAAGAGACGCGGGGCCAAACCGGCUUUCCCCACACUCAAGACACACGCCCUCUCUCUCAGGCAGACGCGCACACUUGACACAGACACAGGCAGGCCCUCGCCGGCUCCUAGCUCCCUGCAGCCCGGGCCUUGUGUGGACAACUGAUUCAGUUGCGGGGCGCGUCUCCAAGGAAAGCGAGGGCCAAGUCCGCUCAUGGGGCCUAGACAGGUCGAAGACUCUGGGCGGUCUUCCGGGACUGGGCCCUACCCAUGAGAAGUCCUCGAGGCGUGUUCCCGGGCGUGGUUCCAGGAGGAUCGGCAGACCUGCAGUAAUUCCUUCCUUUCCUUAUUCAUUCGGCAAGUUGUGAGCUCCCAGCGCGUUCUUCUUUCAGUCGGCCACACCAGCUGGGGUCGUCGGGGGAUCCCCAGCGGUGACGCAGUUGGAGAGGGGCACGCUGACUUCCAAAUAACCAAUAGAAUCCUUGCGCCUGGGGCAUGAGGUCAUCAGCGGUGAUGCCCAUUGGUUCAGGCCUGGACGUGGAGGGGGUCCCCAUAGCAACCGACGGUGCGUCCGAGCGUAACCUGGAGAGUGGUCUUUGCUUGUGCUUCAAUGGCAGCUUGGGUGGUGCUUGGGUUGGGGGCGGGGAGGCGAGAGCGGAGCCCUGUUUCCCAGGUCGUGCAGUUGUAGCCCAACCAAGCUCUUAUUUUUCUUGAGAUCCUUUUACUCACUCAGCCGAGGAAGUUAGGAGGGAAGUAUUGGCAAAAGCGUGGGGGUCCUGGGUACAGAGCUUACGCCACCCGUGGGGGUCCUGGGUACAGAGCUUACGCCACCCGCCACCCGGAAUGUUAAUUCUGAGAUCUUCGCGUUCAUCUGCAUAUCGUCUGCAUCUCAUUUGCAUUCUCUUCAUUUAAGGUCAAAUUGGGCAGACAUCUCCACAUCCCCAGCUCUGUCGCUUGUCUGUAUCCCAAAUCUCUCCCUCACUGGCUCUCUAAUCUACCUCUCAGUGAUCCAGUUCCUUACCCCAUCUCUGCUCCCAGCCUCCAGUCUCUCCAGGGGAGGGAGAGGGCACAGCCUAGCUAAAGGAGAAAGGAUAAGAAGUCUGCCUCUCCCUCUGGAUGUUUGGUGACAGAUGGGGAGGGCUGGUCUGUACUGCCUGGAGACUACAUUGGCAAAGCAAAUGGUUGGGGGAGGUGCCCUGGGCUGAGUUGAGGGUCUCCAGGGCCAAAUCACCC